This 1080-nucleotide long non-coding RNA is filed under the name Cyanistes caeruleus (blue tit). RNAcentral describes it as "lncRNA (ENSCCEG00000021059.1)". Lineage: Eukaryota; Metazoa; Chordata; Aves; Passeriformes; Paridae. The record is from RNAcentral.
GUUUAGGCAAUGGAAGAGAGGAAAUAAAGCCAAUGGAGAAUUAAGGAUGUCUCAUCCUUUGAAGAUCUGAAGAAAAUGUUAAAGAUCUCUAACAGCAAAAACACUGAUCUUCAGAAGCAGCUUGAGGUAGGAAUAAAAGUCCUACCAGAAGGGCUCAGCACUCUCCAGAGAAGGCAAUAAACUUUCCUGGGGUGUGGAAAUCUGCAUUCUUUCAACUGCCUCAGAAAUGCUUUAUGAAGACACCACCUCAGUUUGGUCCUUUGGGAUUGUCUGGAGCCUCUUUGCUUUUAUCAGCCAGUUACUGUCACUAGGAGAGCAACUUUACCCUUGAACACUUUUGCAAACAAAGUGUGCUGAAGUGUGGCUGUACCACAGCUGCAGCACGGCUUGGGGUGUGCAGCCACUGCAGAUGAAGAUGUGACCAUGGUGUGGAGAUGCCUGCUCAGUGUUUGGUUGUGGCCUUUGUAUCUGGCUCAGGGAUUAAGUUCUGUCUUGAGUUUGCUUUAAAUGAAAGGAACCUUGGCAUCACUUCAGCAUCACUGUUAGCCACAAGGAGAUGGAGGAUGUACAGAUGAGGACCACAAAUCUGCACCAUAAAAGGGAACUAAAGGGUGAAUCAUGACUGAUGAGAAAUGAAACAGGAUUUGCAUUUCACAGUGACUCAUCCUCUGCUAAAAUAGCUGACAGCACCUGAAACAAGCCAGUAAAGGAUCAUGUCAAGGCAGACAGCACUGGUUCAUUUGAGCAAGACUUCCCAUUUUCUAAAUUUGUUGCUGUGUUUGUGGACUUCAGAUAUGUUUGGCUCUGACAACAAAGCUUCACGAAACAAACCUCUAAUUUCCUUCCUAUCUGAGAUAAUUCAUUUUUUAAUUCUGGAAAACAAAUGGUGCAGCAAUUUCACAUACAUCCAAGCUGCCAGAAAUUCCAAAAUGUUAUUUUGUUUCCCCAAGCUAUGUGUUAUGGGAGCAGUGCAUGUGGUUCCUGUUGCAGAGCUCCUGCUCCUCACCAUCGGUGUUUAUCAGGAGCCAGGUGUGCCUGUGCAGGAGGGCAGCAAUGCUUCAGGGCUCCGUAUGUUCUCAU